Molecule: ribosomal RNA, 366 nt
Filed under: Triticum aestivum (bread wheat)
Lineage: Eukaryota; Viridiplantae; Streptophyta; Magnoliopsida; Poales; Poaceae
Description: partial small subunit ribosomal RNA
Source: RNAcentral
AUGCAGUGGAUUGCACUGCCAGGCAAGCAAAUUAAGCUGAUGUUGGCAAGUCCACCCCCAGUUGGCUUAUUAUAUGAUGCACCUAAGCCGGCAAAGGAGAUAAGCCCACAGAAAUUAAGAAGUCAGCACACAGGGUUCAGCUAUGCUCAGGUACACGUGAAGCAAGAGAGACUGAGGAGGAAGAUCAGCGACAGCGAGAAGGCCGCGGCUACGAUGACGAUGAGCAAGUCCAUGGCUGGAGAAGAAGAGAAGAAGAAGGAGGGUUCUAUGGGUGAAGAGAAGAAGAAGGCAGCUUGCACCUCAUGGACCGCAGGGAGGGUGCAUCCAUUCGCGUCUUCCCCGGUGCCGAAGGGUGGGCACCGAUGA